Salmo salar (Atlantic salmon) is the source of this 73-nucleotide non-coding RNA. The record is from Rfam. Lineage: Eukaryota; Metazoa; Chordata; Actinopteri; Salmoniformes; Salmonidae.
UUCCCUGUGGCUCAGUUGGUAGAGCAUGGUGUGUGCAACGCCAGGGUUGUGGGUUCGAUUCCCACGGGGGACC